RNAcentral lists this ribosomal RNA (581 nucleotides) under uncultured bacterium. RNAcentral describes it as "bacterial SSU rRNA". It matches the Rfam family "Bacterial small subunit ribosomal RNA", at positions 84 to 700 of the family's 1533-position model. The record is from RNAcentral.
ACCUUCGGUGAGCGGCGGACGGGUUAGUAACGCGUGGGAACGUACCCUUUUCUACGGAAUAGCCUCGGGAAACUGAGAGUAAUACCGUAUAAGCCCUUCGGGGGAAAGAUUUAUCGGGAAAGGAUCGGCCCGCGUUAGAUUAGAUAGUUGGUGGGGUAACGGCCUACCAAGUCUACGAUCUAUAGCUGGUUUUAGAGGAUGAUCAGCAACACUGGGACUGAGACACGGCCCAGACUCCUACGGGAGGCAGCAGUGGGGAAUCUUGGACAAUGGGCGCAAGCCUGAUCCAGCCAUGCCGCGUGAGUGAUGAAGGCCUUAGGGUCGUAAAGCUCUUUCGCCAGGGAUGAUAAUGACAGUACCUGGUAAAGAAACCCCGGCUAACUCCGUGCCAGCAGCCGCGGUAAUACGGAGGGGGUUAGCGUUGUUCGGAAUUACUGGGCGUAAAGCGCACGUAGGCGGAUCAGAAAGUUGGGGGUGAAAUCCCAGGGCUCAACCCUGGAACUGCCUCCAAAACUCCUGGUCUAGAGUUCGAGAGAGGUGAGUGGAAUUCCGAGUGUAGAGGUGAAAUUCGUAGAUAUUCG